AAUAAUAUAAAAUAAUAUAAAUAAAAAGUUUGACAAGUAAUGAAAGAAGAAAAUAUAAUCCAUGUUAAAGAGAGCACACAGUCAAUAGAAACAAAUGCAGAGAUGUUCCAGGUGUUGGAAUUAGCAGACAGGAAUUUUAAAAUAAUUAUGAUCAGCAUGUGGAAAGGGUAGAUAAUGUAUGUAAGUAGAUUGGCAACUUUAUCAAUGAAAUGCACAUGUUUUAAAAGUUAGUUGGAAAUGCUAGAAAUGAAAUACAUAACAUGGGAAAAGAAGAAUUUGUUCAAUGGGCUUAUUGACAACUGAACUGAGUGAGAAAGAAACUGGUAAACUUAAAGACUGAUCAGUGGAAAAUAUCCAAAAUGAAACACAGAGAGAGAUGUUUGAAAACAAUGAAAAUAAUGGAAGAGCAUUUCCAAGACCUGUGGGCCCAAAUCAAAUGAUCUACCAUAUGUGUUGUUGGAGUCCCAUGAGAGGAGAGAAAGAAUGAGGUAGAAGAAAUAUUUGAAGAGAUAAUAGAAGAGAAUUUUCAAAAUAAGUGAAAGACAGCAAAGAAGUGUAAUCAACCCUAAGUGGAGUAUAUAAAAAAUAUCUUCACCUAUGUACAUCAUGGUCAAAUUACUGUAAACCCAAAAUAAAAAGCAGUAUCUUAUAAUAGACAAAUAAAAGCGAUAACUAUAUGUAAGGGAACAAUGACAAGAAUAAUGGCUGUCUCAGUAUCAGAAACAGUGAAGGCUAGAAAAUAAUAGAACAAUAUCUUUAAAAUGCUAAAAGAAAAUAUUGUCAGCCCACAAUUCUAUUUCCUAUAAAGACAUCCUACAAAUAUGAAGAUAAAAUAAUUUCUAAAAGAAAAAUGAUUAAAUUUGUCUGUGGCAGAUUUAUACUACAGCAAAUACUAAAAGAAGCUCUUGGACUAAGAAGGAGCUAUACCAUGUGGAAGCCAGGAUCUACAGGAAAGGGAAUAAAGCACCAGAAAGGGAAAUAUAUGGAUAAGGAUAAAUAUUUGAAUAGCUGUCAUUGCUUGUAUUCAACAUUGUACUGUGACUUCUAGUUAGUGCAGUGAGGCCAGAAAAAGAAAUGACACACUAAAAUUAAAAAGAAGUGAAACUAUCAUUAUUCACAAAUGACGUGCUUGUGUGUAGAAAACUCCAUGUGGGCCCUGCACGGUGGCUCACGCCUGUAAUCCCAGCACUUUGGGAGGCCGAGGUGCGCAGAUCAUGAGGUCAGGAGAUCGAGACCAUCCUGGUUAACACGGUGAAACCCCGUCUCUACUAAAAAUACAAAAAAAAUUAGCCGGGUGUGGUGGCAGGCACCUGUAGUCCCAGCUACUCGGGAGGCUGAGGCAGGAGAAUGGCAUGAACCCGGGAGGCGGAGCUUGCAGUGAGCUGAGAUCGCACCACUGCACUCCAGCCUGGGCAACAGAGCCAGACUCCGUCUCAAAAAAAGAAAAAAAAAGAAAACUUCAUGUAAUCCACACACAAACAAAUAACUACUAGAACUAAUAAGUGAAUUUAGCAGUCUCUGGACACAGGGCUAAUAUUCAAAUAUCAAUUGCAUUUCUAAUUACUAACAAUGAACAACUAUAAAAUGCUAUUUAAAAUAUUGUCCACAAUAGCAUCAAAAACCCAAAAUACCUAGAAACAGGCUCUUUUGAAGUGAGUUAGAAAGUGCAAAGAAUCUAGACUAACCAAAAUAAUAUUGAUAAAGAAGAACAAAGUUGAUGGAUUUACACUAUUUGAUUUCAGGACUUAAUACAAUGUCACUGUAAUCAAGUGAAUGUGAUGUUGGCGAAAUAAUAGAUUGAUGAAGCAGAAUACAAAAUCCAGAAAUUGGCACAUACAGAUAUAUGUGAUAUAUACACACGUAUAUGAUACAUACAUACAAACAUACAUUGAUAUCUGACCAGAGUGGCAAAUUAGAUUAAUAAAGAAAAUAUUUUCUUAAAACAAAUGAUGUGGCCGGGCAUGGUGGCUCAUGCCUAUAAUCCAAGCACUUUGGGAGCCUGAGGCAGGCAGAUCACCUGAGGUCAGGAAUUCAAGGCCAGCCUGGCCAACAUGGUGAAACCCCAUCUCUACUAAAAAUACAAAAGUUAGCCAGACGCUGUGGCGGACUCCUGUAGUCCCAGCUACCUCGGAGGCUGAGGCAGGAGAAUCGCUGGAACCUGGGAGGCAGGGAUUUUGCAGUGAGCAGAGAUCUCGCCACUGCACUCCAGCCUGGGCGACAGAGUGAGCUUCCGUCUCAAAAAAACCAAAAUAAACAAUCAAACAAAAAAAACAAAUGAUGCAAGAAAGAUUGGCUAUCCAUUAGAAAACAAAAAAUGAUCUCUGAUCUUACCUCACCCAAAACACAAAAAUUACGUAGAAAUAGAUCAUAAACUUAAAUAUAAACAUUAUAAUCAAAAAGCUUUUUGAAGAAAAUAAAUAAUAUCUUUGUAACCCUAGGGUAUGCAAAAAUGUAAUAGAAUUAAAAACAUUUCACCUGUCAAAGAAUAUUUGAUUUUCAAUAAAAUUUAAUUUCUGCUCAUUAAAAGAAAGUGAACAGGCAAUCGACAGACUUUGAAAAUUCUCAUCACUUAUUUUUCAUGAAUAGGUCAUGUCCAGAAUAUAUAAAUAACUUUUACGAGUCAACAGUAAAAAGAUAAACAGCUCAGUAAAAAAUGGGCCAAAGUCUGGAAAGACACUUAGCAAAAGAAAAUUUGGGAAUAAGUUGUCCUACAUAGGAUGAGGCUAAUGAACACCUGAAAAGCUAUUCAACAUCAUAAGUCGUCAGAGAGAUGCAAUUUAGAAUCAUAAUGAGUUAGCAUUUCACACUCACUGGAAUGGCUAAGACUGACAGCACCAAAUACUGAUGAGGAUAUGGAGAAAGAUAAAUACUAUCAAGUCAGUAGAGUAAAAUAUUACAACGAUUGUGGGGAAAGGUUUGCCACAUUCUUAAAAGUUAAACAUAUUGUGUCUCAGGAAUUCCACUCCUAGGUAUUUAUCCAGGUGAUAUGAUCACAUACGUCUACACAAAGUCUUAUAUAAGACUGUUCCAAGAACAUCUGGAAACACUUAAAUAUCCAUUUCCUAGAAAAUGAGUAAGCAAAUUGUGGUAUAUUUAUACAGUUAAAUAUUACUCUGUAAUGAAAAGGAAUGAGCUAGUGAUAACAUGCAACAGUAAGAAUGAGUCUUAAAAAUAUAUAUUGGCAAAAAAAAGCCAGAUGUAAAGAAUAUAUACAGUAUAUUAUGUUCAAAGACAGGCAAAAUUGUCUAUGGCAAUGGAAAUCAGUACAGUGUGGUUUGACUGAAAAGGAGAAGGAGGAAAACUUCUGGAGUGAUUGAAAUGUUUUGUAUCUUGUUUUGGGUGGUGCUACAUCGGUGUAUACAACCAUCAACACUCACGCAGGGAACACUUAAAAUGUGUGCAUUUUAUUGUAAUUUUAAAAUUACCCGAUUCUAAAAACUGAAAAAAGAAAAAGAGAAAGAAAAAACCAAUCAUAGAAAUUUUCAGCAUUUUGACUCCAUAUAAACUGUUAUUUUGGAACACUUGGUUUUCAUCUGAUAAGUGUGUUUGAAAGCAAUGCUAUGGUAACGAGUGUAGGAGCUACCAAGAGAAUCUGUGGUAGGAGGAAAGGGUUAGGUCAGCAACACCUGUUUCUGGCACUCUUCUGACGAGACACCAGAUUGCCUACUGGCUUCUUCCAGCUUUCCCGAGCACAGGGAGAGUGGCAGCAAUACCAGGGAGCCUUAUGCUUACAAGAUGGACACCAUAUGUUUUCACUAUCGCUUCGUAGCUGUUCUCAUCUGUCCCUUUUCUUUGUCCUUUUAGUAUCUGAGGUCCAGUAACCCUGAGAAAUUUAAUAUGAGAAGACACCAUGAAUGAAAUAUUAAUAUUUUAAAAUCAAGUACAAAGAGAAGAUUGCCUGUGAGUGGUUAUUCUCUUCAGUUGUCCAAUAGCUGUUAUUUAUCAAAUUAACACCAAAACGUUCAAACUCUCUAAAAAUGAAUAGCUUUGCUUUAUAAGGAGAGUUGUGAAAACUUAUUAAGAACUCCUGCACACAUUAUUUAAAGAUACCAUUUACACGUGAGAGUAAUUAUAAAUGAAAUAUAUUAAAUGUCCGAAAGUAGCACCAUGUGGCAGAAUUUUCAGGAAAAGAAAUCGAAUUAGUACUGGAAGAAGACAUUCAAAUAAGAGAACCACAUUUUCAAGACUCCUGCCCCUGCCACGAGAACACACCCUUUCCAGUUUGCUGGAGAAAUAUAAGAGAAGUCCAGUGAAAGAGAGCUGAGUUUCCCCAAUGAUGCCAUCAAGAUGAACUAACUACAGUUAACCAGCCAGCUGAUAGCAGAUGCAUGAGUGAGCCCAGCUGAGAGCAGUGCCUACAAUAGUUCCUGGUAUGUAGAAGGUAUACAAUAAAUAUUGGCGGAGUGAAGGAACAAAUGGGAUUUGCUUGAUUCUGCUGCAGAAGACUAAGGAAAAGACAUAAAUGAAUAAAUAACUAGUAGAAUGUUAACACAAUCAGAAAAAGGACCAUUUCUUUUCAUUUGGAUGUCUCAAAUCUAUUUGUUGUUGUUGUUGUUGUUUUUCUGGCUGGGCUUGAAAUGUAGGCAUGCAGCCAGGAGGCUCCAUGCUGACUAAUGAGAUAGAGAUACCCAUUUAGCCCAGCAAUAUUCAUACAUUGUUUAUGCAUUCAUUUUUCUCUAGUGACUUUUUAAUAUAUUUUGGUGAAGAUAUUCCCAAGAUAAUGAAGAUAUGUUGAGUGGGCAUUAAAAGUGAUGAGUCUUUUUUUCCAUUAUCAAAGACAAAUACAGGUGUGUAAUGUAUGCAGAGAAUUAGAAGUAGGGAAAAAAAUGAGGGAAUCCAAAAUAAUGAAAAGUAAUUAAAGCUCUCCAAUAAUUGAAAGAAAGGCCAAACUGAAAACAUGAAUCUCCAGACUCUGCAAGGAUUUAUACUGAUGUGGGGCGUGUGGACCAAUGGCUUUCAGGAUGUGAUUCAUUUUGAAAAAAGUGUCAUUUCUAUUGCCAAGUAGAGUUCAUGGUUUAGUGAAAAUUUCAUCUUCAGUCUGAUCACAUGAGCCAAAUUCUGGCCCUAUAUAUUCUGAUGUGAGGAAUGAAGUAUUUCUAGUUUAUUUGUGAGAUUCCAAGCAUAAUAUCCAGGAGGGUUAGUCACAUUACAGCUAAGGUAAGAUUUUGUUAUAUUUGUGUUAGUCCUUAUUCUAGGCACUGAAAUUUCCUUGUAACAUUACUUGAAAAAGCAUAAGAACUAUUUAAUGAAAGAAUGCUUUGGCUCUGCCCAAAUGACCAAGAAAGACAUCAACUCACUUAUAACACAGUCUUGAUGGUCAGACCAAAAGCUACGUGAUUGUCAAUUAUUUUCAGCAGAGACUCAUAGAACAACAAAGCAGGGAAGAAUCUGAACAGGGAUUGGACUUUAAAGAACAAGUAUCAUUGAUCAAUUUAAAAAAAUGAUCAUGGGCUGGGCACAGUGGCUCACACCUAUAAUCCCAGCACUUUGGGAGGCCGAGGUGAGAGGAUUGCUUGAGUCCAGGAGAGACCAGCCUGGGCAAUAUAGUGAGACCCCAUCUCUACAGAAUUUUUUAAAAUUAGCUGAGCAUGGUGGCAGAUGCCUAUAAUUCCAGCUAAUUGGGAGAAUGAGGUAGGAGAAUCACUUGAGGUCGGGUGGUGGAGGUUGCACUGAGCUGAGAUCACUCCACUGCAUGCCAGCCUGGGAGACAGAGCAAGACCUUGUCUCAAAAAAAUAAAAUAAAAUAAAAUAAAUCAUGAUUCAGUAAAUUGAAAUAGAACACGUCUUCUAAUGCUAGCUAUAUAGUAACAAUCAGAGCAAGUAGUUUACAGUUUCUACUCAAGGGUAUUGAUGAUUAAAAUGAGUCCAGCUAUUUUAUUGGAGGAUGGGGAAUCUAGAUAGUAAGUUAAGCAGUAGUAGCUAAUGCAACAAAUACGCAGUGUAGGUCAUUCUACAUUUGUAGUCUGCUAUAUGUUGGGUUCUAUGUAUUAUACAGUAAAAUUUUACUUCAGUCUUUUUCCAAAAUUCAGGGAUUGGUCUGUUUAAUUCAGUAACUAAUGAGUUGAUGUCCAAUUCUUCUGAGUAAGUGAAUAUUCAUAGAAGUAGAGGUGAAAAAAUGGAGGCCACAGAAUAGGUGUAAAGUAGAUACACAGAUCUGCAUUGUGGCGGUUCUCGUUGAGCUGAUAUUUAGAUCAGCAGUGAGACUGCUUGGUACCAUUCCAGAAGACAACAGCCAUUUAGCUGGUCUUCUGUUGAAAAACUAUCUAAUUGAUCAUCUGGAGGAAGAGACUAAAAGCUGUGAAGUUGAGUCAGCAUGCCUUUCAAAACUUAGCAGGUGAAGUUGUCAUACUCAAGAGGAAUGUAUUUUUUAAGUUUAACAAGAUGGAUAUAAAUCAUAAUAUCACUCUCUUGAGAGAUCAUCUACAUGUGUGUCUACCUACAAGUGUCUCAAUUAUUGUUUUAGAUUUAACCAGGCUUUGUUUGUUUGUUUAUUUACAGGAAGUGAUACAUAUACAAAUUGACAUAGGAAAAUGCCACUUGUAUAAUAUUCUAGCUAGUAUUUUCAUCUGCUGUUGUCUGAAUUCCCCCAAAGUGGUUAACUUCAAAAUGCAAACUUAAAGCAUGAAAAAAAUAAACAGUAAUCUGAAAUAAAAUACACAUUUGAAGAGCUUAUUCUUUUACCCUAUCAGAUGGUAAAAUGUUUGGCCAGAUAUGUAGAAUAAGUUUUCUAAUAUGAUAUUUAAUCAGUGUACUAUCUUAUUUUGGGUUAAAUUAAUAUAAUUAUACUAUUUAUUUGGAAUGAGAUAGAUGGAAUUCAGAAUUCAGAAUAGAAGACCAAAUAUAAUUAGGUCCCAGUGAACUCCCAACAUAAUUUUCUCUAACAGUCGCACAUGAAAAGAAAAACCAAGGCAAUAUAAUGCUUGUUUUCCUGAAAUACCAUCCGUUAUUUUGUUUGAGUUAAGCUCAGUGCUCUAAAGGUUAUGGAUACUGUGCAGUAAUUAGUACCAUUAUGGGGAAUGUUCUUACUUCUAUGUAUUGGAUUUCCCCAGUUUUACAAUGAUAUAAUUCCAAAUUGGUCCUUUGUCAGAGGUGUAACUAAAUUUCUUUCUUGUUCUAAAAUAUAGGCAACACAUAUUGUGGUAUCAAUUUGCUUGUUCUGGAAUGCAAAUAAAAUAGAAGCUUGUUUUGUAUAUUUUCUAGAUAAUUGUUGUUUUCUAUAUACCACAUAUAUAGAGACUUUGAAGAAAGUGGUUAUCAAAUUAUUAAAUAUCUAUAAAUUCUAUUAAUUUCUCUAGCUGAGAGAAAUGUUCUCUUUUUAACUAUAAGAGAAUUAGAUUCCCUUCCUCAAAGAGAGGCCAACAAAUUUCAAAUAUUUUUACAUACUGUAUAAAUAUAAAUGAAUCUUUGUACACCAUUUCCCUCCCUGUAGAGCAAGGCUUAAAUACUCUUUUGGAACAGUUGUGCAGAAAUAUUUAAUUGCAUGGCAUGUGGUUAUGGAUAUUUUAUAUACAGGCUAUCUCUAUCUCUUAACUUACAACUAAAAUGACAAAUUUAAGAUUCAUAUGUCUCAAGUAUUGUUCUUAUAAUAUUAAAAACAUUACACUUGAAAUAGUAAAAAAAGAAAAUAAAUGGUGUUUAUAUUAGACCAAAGCAAGUCAAAAUUAGGGCUUUUAUCCUGACUACGAAUUCCAAUAAAGUAGAGAGUAUUUGCAAAUUCACAAGACUCUGUAGGGUAGAGCAGUGAUCUGGCCAUGAACUUCAUCAGAGUCAGUGCUAUGUCAUUGGGCUCUCUGGUCAGUGUCAGAGAUUGCCACCUGGUCAAUUCAUCUGUUGGCAAUAAUGAUAAUAACAUUAAAUGUAUACACAGUAUGUACUGAGUACUUUACAUAAAUUAACUCAUUUAAUUACGACAACAAACUCCUUAUGGUAGUUACCAUUAUUGUCUCCAUUUCACAGGUGAGGAAAUUGAAGAAAGAUACUCAGUGGUCCUGAGGAACUCAGUGGCAUAUCCAAAUGCAGGCAAGAUAAGGCCUUAAGAUGAGUCUGUGCUACUAGGCCCUACCCAGAAAAGGCAGUCAGCAGUUGAGAUUUGCCUUGUGAUUGUCUUAAAGGGCAAACUUCAUAAAGAAAGACCAAUGCACAAGUAAAGGCUUGGGCUCUAUAAUAAUAAUAGCAAGCCCUCAGAUGGAACUUGCUGUCUGUCAGGCACUUUACAUAUAGCAAUUUAUUUAAUCUUCAUAACACCCCUAAGAGAUAAAUAUUCUUUCUAUUUCAUUUUACUGUUAUGGAAAUUGACACAUAAAGAGAUUGAGUAACUUGCCUAUGAAUGCUGUAAUGACAAAGGCAGGCUUUGAACUCAGGCAGUCUCAUGCUAGAGUCCAUAUUCUUUGCCAUUAUGGGAUAUCGUGUCAUAUUUGGGGAACUUAAGAUCUUAAGUAAUUUAUUAAGGUUUAGGAGAAAGAAGAGGAAAUAUAGAAAAUGCCUUUUAAAAUUAAAAUUCAAAAAAUGAGAAAAAUAUAUCAAAAAAGUAUUAAUGACAGUAAUAAAUGAACAUGCUAUAAUUGAGUCUAUAUUUGUGCUCCUGUUUUAGUUAGUACUUUUUUUGGGUUAGAUCGUCUCCACACUUCUGCACUAAUUUAUAUUUGAAGUCCUGUCCUCUGUUGCUUUAGAUUAUGACCUCAUUUGGAGAAAAGGGCUUUACAGAGGUAAUUAUGCUAAAGCGAGUUCAUGUGGGUGGGCCCUAAUCCACUGACUGGUGUGCUUACAAAACCAGGAAAUUUGGUCACGGGCAAGUAUAGAAGGAAGGCAACGUGAAGAGACAUAGAUAGAAGAAGGCCGUCUAUAAGCCAAAGACAGUGGCCUGGAGCAGAUCUUUCCCUCACAGCCCUCAGAAGGAAUCAACCUUACUGACGUUAUUUCAGACUUCCAGCCUCCAGAACUGGAAGACAACACAUUUCUGUUCUUUAAGCCACCAUGUUUAUGAUACUUUAUUGUGGCAACUCUAGCAAACGAAUACAGUAUUCUUGGAUGAAAAUUAGCAGAAAAUAAUUUCAAACAGCUUAGCCAAAAAUUCUGAUUGAAUGGAAGGAUACUGGGACACCUCAUAGAUUUUUAAAAGUUUGAAUAAUCAACCUUUAGUAUGCAGAGACUGGAGAACAUCAGGAUCUCAGGCCACAGCCUCAAGUCUCUCUCAUUCUCUCUCUGUCUCACAGGUUCUCUCAUUCUUCUCUUUCUCUUCCAGAUGGUCUGAUAUGGUUUGGCUGUCUGCCCUCACCCAAACCUCAUGUUGAAUUGUAAUCCCCAGUGUUGGGGGAGGGACCUGGUGAGAGGUGAUUGGAGCAUAGGGGCAGAUUUUCCCCUUUCUUUUCUUGUGAUAGUGAGUGCUCAUGAGAUCUUGUUGUUUAAUGGUGUGCAGCGCUUCUGCCUUAGCUCUCUCUGUCUUGUUGCCAUGUGAAGAUGUGUUUGCUUCCCCUUCACCUUCUGCCAUGAUUGCAAAUUUCCUGAGGCCUCCCCAUCCAUGCUUCCUAUACAGCAUGUGGAACUGUAAGUCAAUUAAACCUCUUUUCUUUAGAAACUAUCCAGUCUCAGGUAGUUCUUUAUAGCAAUGUAAGAAUGGACUAAUACACGAUCUUUUGUCACUUUUUUACUCAUGACUACUUCAAAGGAUAUAGGUCCUCACACACUAUCUAGCACUACCAAGCAAGUUUAAAUCUCAAUUCUAAACUCAUAGGAGGCAGAAUUUGACAGGCUUGACUUAGGUCAAGGUCUAUCCCUAUUCUAGCCAGCUAUGGCCAGAGAAAUAGGGCCAUAUAAGACAAACAUGAAUCUAGGAACAGGACCAUAUUAUGACUUUUAUGGGUCCCAGGCACUUUUGUCUUCAUAGGUCCUAACCUCAUACCCACACACAAAAAGAACCUAAAAAUUAUGUUUUAUCAUUACAUUAAUAUAACAAUAUGUUACUAUAUAGUAAAAUAUUUUCUUUAACAUGAAAGUUUUUUUAUGUAAAAGAAAUUAAGACAUUUUCAUGAGCAUCUUAAGUAUUGUGGACCCUAGGCACUGGGCCAUCUGUGCCUAAUGUGGCUUUUUUGGUGAAGUGGACUUUUUAAAGAAAGAGGGGAUUUAUAUGGAUAGCGGUGUGUUCCUAUUUACUUAUACUUUUGUAAAGCCUUUUCCUCCCACUGUCUUUCUAUGAAACAUUUGUAACUUGUCUUGUUGAUGAUGAUACAAGUAAUACCAAUGCCAGAGAGGAUUUUUUCCUUUUCUGUUCCUCCAUCUCAAUGCCUUUCAUGUUUAUAACUUAAAGUUGUUGACUUCCACUUCCUGAUUACCAUAUGGUGUCAAGGGUAUAGAAUUCCUUAAAUAUUUACUAGGGAAAAGGCCUGGGGUAACCUAUUUAAGCUCCUGGACUAAGUAUUUUUACUAUACUGGAGUAUUUUUUCAAAUCUUUCUCCAAUACACAGUGUUACAUUUUACCACCUAUAUCCAUGAUAAAUUGUCACUGAAGCAUAUGUUACAUUAGUCUAUUUUCAUAAGUAAAAUAAAUCAAGAAGCCUGCUAUCUUCACUGGGAAAUACAUAUAUCUUGCUUUUAAGAUGAUAUUUAAUUGUGGGUCAAAUUGAACAAUGGUAAGGUUUAUUUUCUGUCCUACGGAUGUGUAAGGGACUUCUAAGACAUAUUCAGCUUCCCUAUUAUGUGCCAUUUUUGAGUCCUUUUAUCUGUGCUAACAAUAAUGAUAUAAAGGAAAUAAAGGCAGGAUGGCAAGUCUGCAAUUAUUUACUGAGUUUCAAGUCGAAUAGGUUGGACUAGUGAGUAGACUGAGUAUGAGCAAUACACCUAAGUGACUGUUUUAUGGAACUUUCAAUGGGAUUGCCAUCAUAUGACUUGAAAUACCAAGUGAAGCACACCUUUGGGGAACAAUCACAGUUUUUACAGAGUUGUGGGUUACAGAAGUAGCAAUAGUUUUAUAAGAAAUUGGUUGGCUUAUUUUGAGAUAUCAAAUCAAAAUAAGGCUCUCCAAAAUGCCACUGCAGCUACACACUGGAGCCUUUGCCACUGAUAGUGGCUAUUGGUUUCUUAGUGCCAUUUGAAGCUGUGCACACAAAUGUGUACUAUAUUCACCCUGAGAACUGCCAUUUUUAAGAGCAAAGAAUCACCUUCUAUAUCACUCAAAUAGGUGUAAUAUGGAGCAGAAUUAUUACUGCUUAGGGCUCUUUCAAUCUGGAAACAUGGUAGCUAUGAUGAUUCAUUUUAUGUGUCAACUUGACUAGGCCACAGAGUGUGUAGAUUUUAGGUCAGACAUUAUUUUGGGUGUGUCUGUGAGGGUGUUUUUGGAUGAGAUUGACAUUUGAAUUGGUGGACUGAGUAAAGCAGAUUGUUUUCCACAAUGUUGGUGGCCCCACCCCAAUCAAUUGAAGGCAUACAUAGAACAAGGCCUGAUCUUCCCAGGAGCAAGAGGGAACUCCUUAUGUAUGACUGUUUUGAUCUGGGAUAUUGCUCUUUCCAUUCUUCAGACUUGAAUUGAAACAUUGGCUCUUCUUGGGUUUAGAACCUGUAGCAUAUAAUAUUGGCUUUCCCGGUUCUCAGGCCUUUGGACUCAGACUGGAACUUAACCUUGGAUCUCCUGGGUGUUUACUUAUCCGACUGCAGAUCUUGGGACUCACUAGCUUCCAUAAUCCCUGGGCCAAUUCCUUAUAAUGAAUGUACCUAUCUAUACAAACAUCUUGUUGGUUCUGUUUUUCUGUAGAUCCCUGACUAAUAUAAUAGGUACACUCAAAGCAAAGCUUAGUCUAAGUUUUUUCUUUGUAACACAUCAAAUAUUUACCUGUCAUAAUUUGGCCCAAGUGAACAUAACAUGUUAUAGGCUCUCGAAAGGAUUUAUUACCUGGACAAAAGGUGAAAUAGUAGAGUUAAAACUUCCAUGAUCAGGAACCAUUUCAGAACAGAAGUCUUUGUUGCAGCUUGGCCAUCCUAUUUUGAAACUCGACUAGUUUAGAUCUUUCCAACUAGUGAGCAGUAGCAUACUUCUGUGUGGUGACUGGACUACCAUGAAAAGUUGAACAUUAAAUGGCAGAGGAAGGCAUGUGGGGAGGGUGGGGAAGAGACUGUGGAGGUGCCCUGAGGGCCUCCACCAGAAGUGGUAUCCUCCCUUGUCUGUUCUCUAGAAGUGGGCAUGGUUCAGCCACCCAGGCACCAUUGUGUGGCACUCCACCCCACAAAGAUGAACUCGUUAAUCAAUGUGAAGCUAGCCCUGAAGCUGAAUAAAAGGCAGGCUGAUAUUGCAGUGGCUCCUAAAGCAUCCCGUCCUCUGUGUACAAGGACAGCUCCUGGAUGUUCCUGGGAGGGCUUUGUUAUGAACUGACUGAAGGUGAUGUCAUCUGUGUAGCCUCUCAAUAAGGGGAGAUAUAUUAACAUUAAUCUUGUACAGGACAGGAAGUCAGGAAUGCGUCCAAAGUAUUCUGUUUUACCUGCUAUGAGGACCAGAGGAGUACCAUUUUGGCCAUUGACAAUUUUAAUGGAAUCAAGAUCAAGGGAAGAACUAUUCGAGUUGAUCAAGAAUGAAAUUACCAACUUCCUGCCUCUCUCCCUUGCCUGACCCAGAGGACUUGAAUGAUGCCACAAGACAGCUCUGGGAGAAGGGUUGUGGGGCCCAGAGUCCCUCACCUAGUUCAUCUGAAGGCUCCAGUGAUGAAGCACUCUCACAACAGCACAGCUGAGAAAAACGGGGAAAAAAAAAACACCAAAGAGAAGAUCAUCAUUUGAGUUAAAGACAAGGAGGGACAGAGAAGUCAUCAUACACUCUGCCUGCCAGAGACCAGAUGAAAAAUGAUAAGGAUGCACGAAGCUGCAAUAAACACACCAAGGUGGAAUUAGAGUCCAGAUAGGGGCUGAAGCCCUAACCAAGUUGUCCUGUGUCCAGGACAGCAGCUGCAGACCACAGCUUCCUGUGAACACAGCAGGACCUAGAGAAGGGGGUGAGAGGAAGGAGAGUCAGGAUUCUGAGCCCAGUACUUUGGCGGUGGCAGGGUAAGAGGAGAAGAGCAAGGAUAGGGACACAUUUCAGUUGAUUUGAAAGCAUAGCCACACAAAUUCUCCAACCCCAGGGACCAUAGGCCAGACCAGGCUUCAGCCUGCUCAGAUCCUCAGAUUUUAAAACAAAGUGUGGUAUUUAAAAUGCAAUGGGAUGGAACUUGUGAUUUUGUAAUUUCUGUAAAUAAAAUAUCUGGGGCAGAAUUUCCUUAAAUUGAAAUCUGUUUUUUUUUUUACGACUACUUAAGAAUUUACAAUAGUUGAAAUUCCAUUAAAGAGUUUAUAUUGCAUCUUUUAUAAACUCUCUGAAAUUCUGAUGCCUAAGGUUUUCUUUUCUUUCUUUCUUUUUUUUUUUUUUUUUUUUGAGAUGGAGUCUCACUCUGUUGCCUAGGUGCAAUCUUGGCUCACUACAACCUCCGCCUCCUGGGUUCAAGCGAUUCUCGUGCCUCAGCCUUCCUCAGUGGCUGGGAUUACAGGCAUCUGCCAUCACGCCCAGCUAAUUUUUGUAUUUUUAGUAGAGAUGGGGGUUCCACCAUGUUGGCCAGGCUGGGCUCGAACUCCUGGCCUCAGAUGACCCAUCUGCCUUGGCCUCCCAAAGUGCUGGGAUUACAGGUCUGAGCCAUCGUGCCUGGCCUAAGAUUUUAAGAGCAGUGACCUAUAGUAGUUCACAUGUAAUCACUCCUCUCCCAUAGUAUUCUGCUUAAGUAUUACUAUUUUCAAUGUAACAGGGCAUGCAAAAGGUGGGAAGUACUGGACUAGAUAAUCUCUACAGUUUUUAAUUUAGUUCUAAGCUUCUUAGGCCAUGAGGGGAGGAUGUCAGCCAGCAUAGUGGGAAAAUACUGCUAUCAUAUGAUUUAAGUAAGGACUAAAAAAUAUUUAGGCUCCUGCUCUUGUAUUAUUUUAUAGAUCGAUAAUAAUACAAGAUUUAUUGUUUUUGCUUUUUCCACUGUAACUUUAGCUAAUGAUAAAAUCAAAGGCAAAGUAUAUUUCUGUGGAAAGUAGUAUCAGUUGAGAUACAUGACAAAUCAUGGCAGAUUAAAAAGAUAAUAUCUCUGGCUGGGUGCAGUGGCUCACUCCUGUAAUCCCAGCACUUUGGGUGGAUCACUUGAGGCCAGGAGUUCGAGACCAGCUUGGCCAACAUGGUGAAACCCUGUCUCUACUAAAAAUACAAAAAUUAGCUGGGUGUGGUGGCAGGCACCUGUAAUCCCAGCUACUCAGGAGGUUGAGGCAGGAGAGUUGCUUGAAUCUGGGAGGUUGAGGUUGCAGUGAGGCGAGAUCAUACCAUUGCACUCCAGCCUGGGCAACAGAGCGAGACUCCAUCUCAAAAAUAAAAAAUAAAAAGAGAGUAUCUCUGAUAACACAUUCCUUCUAUUCUUCUCUUUAUAUAUCUUUAACUAUAUAUAGAUAUAUAUAAAAUAUAUAUAAAAUCUAAGAAAGCGCAAUAUUUUAU
This is a long non-coding RNA of Pan troglodytes (chimpanzee), 14476 nucleotides long. RefSeq lists it as uncharacterized. The record is from RefSeq and is a predicted model, not a curated record. The transcript has 3 exons. Lineage: Eukaryota; Metazoa; Chordata; Mammalia; Primates; Hominidae.